UCCCUCUUAGCUCAGUUGGUAGAGCGCGUCACUAGUAUAAAAUGGAUGAAUAUUAUUUAAUGACGAGGUCAGUCGUUCAAAUCGGCUAGAGGGAA
This is a non-coding RNA of Armillaria nabsnona, 95 nucleotides long. Lineage: Eukaryota; Fungi; Basidiomycota; Agaricomycetes; Agaricales; Physalacriaceae. The record is from the annotation of a GenBank genome assembly.